Theobroma cacao (cacao) is the source of this 913-nucleotide non-coding RNA. Lineage: Eukaryota; Viridiplantae; Streptophyta; Magnoliopsida; Malvales; Malvaceae. The record is from RefSeq and is a predicted model, not a curated record.
GCAGGUGAAUUCGUUCUUUGACAAAGUCUCUUUGUUUUCUGUUUCGAUUUUCAUUUUUUUAAUUUACCAAAAAAAAAAGUUUUGUGAAUUUGUUUUUCUUAAUGUUCACUUGGUGCAAUUUACUUCUCUUAGCUAAGCAACAACACAAAGUCAAGAAUCAGGUGCAGUACCUCUAAAGUCUGAAUGCAUAGCAAGUUGUUGAUAUUCAAUACCCAUUUGGAAUAGAAGCCGGUUGUUACUUGAUUGAGUGGUUCAGAGUAACUUGCAACAAAACAUCUAUGAAAGGCGUUGGCACAUGGGCGGUUACGUUGCAAGUUUCUCUGACCCACUCAUUCAGGAAACAGUCGGUUUCUAUUCCAAAUGGGUAUUGAAUAUCAACAUGUCCACAACUUGCUGCACCUUCAGACUUUAGUGGUACUAUGCUUGAUUCUUGGCAUUGUGUUGCUGCUUGGCAAGAAGAAGUAAAUUGCACAAGUGAACACCAAGGAAAACAAAUUCACAAACAUUUUAUUUUUGGGUAAAUUAAAAAAAUGAAAAUCGAAACAGAAAACAAAGAGACAUUGUCAAAAAUUGCUAGUGAAUACUGGUAGUGAGUAGCUGGUGACCUUCCAAAUCGCAUUUGAUGGUAUUCCACCAGGAAAGGAAGGAAUGGAAACAGGUCAAUGCUGAUGUUUCCACUACUUAAUGACAAUGGACUCGUGAUGAAUUGCUUUUGGCUCCUUCGAAAGUUUACGGGCAGUGUAUAGGGGGAUAUAUAUAUUUUGCCUUGUACAGAUUCUUGGUUCUAACUGGCAUUAUUUUUGUAAGCCAGUAUAUUUUGUGAUCUGACUUUUAUCUCAAGUCAGAUUUUCUUUUGUAAAUUGCAGGGGUUCCCUUGUCUUGAUGAAAGGAAAUUAACUUUUCAGAAAAAAAA